UGAACUUAAGCAUAUCAAUAAGCGGAGGAAAAGAAACUAACAAGGAUUCCCCUAGUAACUGCGAGUGAGCGGGAAAGCUCAAAUUUAAAAUCUGGCGGUCUUUGGCCGUCCGAGUUGUAGUCUGGAGAAGCGUCUUCCGCGCUGGACCGUGUACAAGUCUCUUGGAACAGAGCGUCAUAGAGGGUGAGAAUCCCGUCUUUGACACGGACUACCAGUGCUUUGUGAUGCGCUCUCAAAGAGUCGAGUUGUUUGGGAAUGCAGCUCAAAAUGGGUGGUAAAUUCCAUCUAAAGCUAAAUAUUGGCGAGAGACCGAUAGCGAACAAGUACCGUGAGGGAAAGAUGAAAAGCACUUUGGAAAGAGAGUUAAACAGUACGUGAAAUUGCUGAAAGGGAAACGAUUGAAGUCAGUCGCGUCGUCCAGAACUCAACCUGGCUUUUGCUUGGUGCACUUUCUGGUUGACGGGCCAGCAUCAGUUUCGGUCGUCGGAGAAAGGCCUUUGGAAUGUGGCACCUUCGGGUGUGUUAUAGCCUUGGGUCAUAUACGACGGUUGGGACUGAGGACCGCAGCACGCCUUUUGGCCGGGGUUCGCCCACGUACGUGCUUAGGAUGCUGGCGUAAUGGCUUUAAACGACCCGUCUUGAAACACGGACCAAGGAGUCUAACAUGCCUGCGAGUGUUUGGGUGGAAAACCCGAGCGCGUAACGAAAGUGAAAGUUGGGAUCUCUGUCGCGGAGAGCACCGACGCCCACACCAGACCUUCUGUGACGGAUGUGCGGUCGAGCAUGUAUGUUGGGACCCGAAAGAUGGUGAACUAUGCCUGAAUAGGGUGAAGCCAGAGGAAACUCUGGUGGAGGCUCGUAGCGAUUCUGAC
This 872-nucleotide ribosomal RNA is filed under the name Pseudophlebia setulosa. RNAcentral describes it as "Hyphodontia setulosa 28S ribosomal RNA". It matches the Rfam family "Eukaryotic large subunit ribosomal RNA", at positions 29 to 890 of the family's 3401-position model. The record is from RNAcentral. Lineage: Eukaryota; Fungi; Basidiomycota; Agaricomycetes; Polyporales; Meruliaceae.